UUNUACANCNNCUCAGNGCUACANANGGANNCCNNNUUNCNUUNUUCCGCACUCAAGUCUCCCANUUUCCAAUGACCCUCCACGGUUGAGCNCGUGGGCUUUCACAUCAGACUUAAGAAACCACNUGCGCGCGCUUUACGCCCAAUAAUUCCGGAUAACGCUUGCCACCUACGUAUUACCGCGGCUGCUGGCACGUAGUUAGCCGUGGCUUUCUGGUUAGGUACCGUCAAGGUGCCAGCUUAUUCAACUAGCACUUGUUCUUCCCUAACAACAGAGUUUUACGACCCGAAAGCCUUCAUCACUCACGCGGCGUUGCUCCGUCAGACUUUCGUCCAUUGCGGAAGAUUCCCUACUGCUGCCUCCCGUAGGAGUCUGGGCCGUGUCUCAGUCCCAGUGUGGCCGAUCACCCUCUCAGGUCGGCUACGCAUCGUUGCCUUGGUGAGCCGUUACCUCACCAACUAGCUAAUGCGACGCGGGUCCAUCCAUAAGUGACAGCCGAAGCCGCCUUUCAAUUUCGAACCAUGCGGUUCAAAAUGUUAUCCGGUAUUAGCCCCGGUUUCCCGGAGUUAUCCCAGUCUUAUGGGCAGGUUACCCACGUGUUACUCACCCGUCCGCCGCUAACUUCAUAAGAGCAAGCUCUUAAUCCAUUCGCUCGACUNGCNNNAUG
RNAcentral lists this ribosomal RNA (667 nucleotides) under Bacillus sp. CaN-J1/4. RNAcentral's name for it is "partial 16S ribosomal RNA". Lineage: Bacteria; Bacillati; Bacillota; Bacilli; Caryophanales; Bacillaceae. The record is from RNAcentral.